UUUGCGGGUUUUCGCUUUGGCCUCUCAUUUUAUUUUUUGUCAUUUUUUAUUUUGAUCUAGAUUUUUCUUUUUCAUUCUUCUUUCUUUUUCUCUCAUUUUCAUCUUGACCUUGACCUUGAUUUUGAUUUUGAUUUUGAUUUUUCUUGUUUUUGUUUAUUUUUUAUUUUUUAUUUUUUAUUUUUGGAUCUGAACUCUUGGGAUUAGGCAAGUCCUUGUUACCCCUUUCGAAGAAUCUCCUUUGAUAUUAGAUUUCUUUCAUAGAACCUCUUGGGGGUGCAACUAUGACAAAAAACUUUGGAUCAGGAUAAAAUCCCACAACAUCUUGAAGGGAUGGAAACUUGACUUCAAAUGGGCAAAUCUAUGUUGACUCAACGAGAAAGGCAUUGCCCCGACAAAGAACUGCA
This 404-nucleotide long non-coding RNA is filed under the name Gossypium raimondii (Peruvian cotton). RNAcentral describes it as "long non-coding RNA (GRAI_LNC003691)". The record is from RNAcentral. Lineage: Eukaryota; Viridiplantae; Streptophyta; Magnoliopsida; Malvales; Malvaceae.